UGAACGCUGGCGGCGUGCCUAAUACAUGCAAGUCGAGCGAACAGACGAGGAGCUUGCUCCUCUGACGUUAGCGGCGGACGGGUGAGUAACACGUGGAUAACCUACCUAUAAGACUGGGAUAACUUCAGGAAACCGGAGCUAAUACCGGAUAAUAUAUUGAACCGCAUGGUUCAAUAGUGAAAGACGGUUUUGCUGUCACUUAUAGAUGGAUCCGCGCCGCAUUAGCUAGUUGGUAAGGUAACGGCUUACCAAGGCAACGAUGCGUAGCCGACCUGAGAGGGUGAUCGGCCACACUGGAACUGAGACACGGUCCAGACUCCUACGGGAGGCAGCAGUAGGGAAUCUUCCGCAAUGGGCGAAAGCUUGACGGAGCAACGCCGCGUGAGUGAUGAAGGUCUUCGGAUCGUAAAACUCUGUUAUUAGGGAAGAACAAAUGUGUAAGUAACUAUGCACGUCUUGACGGUACCUAAUCAGAAAGCCACGGCUAACUACGUG
This 495-nucleotide ribosomal RNA is filed under the name uncultured bacterium. RNAcentral describes it as "partial 16S ribosomal RNA". It matches the Rfam family "Bacterial small subunit ribosomal RNA", at positions 30 to 507 of the family's 1533-position model. The record is from RNAcentral.